RNAcentral lists this ribosomal RNA (301 nucleotides) under uncultured bacterium. RNAcentral describes it as "partial 16S ribosomal RNA". It matches the Rfam family "Bacterial small subunit ribosomal RNA", at positions 509 to 808 of the family's 1533-position model. The record is from RNAcentral.
CAGCCGCCGCGGGAAUACGUAGGUGGCAAGCGUUAUCCGGAAUUAUUGGGCGUAAAGAGUGCGUAGGUGGUCUACUAAGCGCGAGGUGAAAGGCAAUGGCUCAACCAUUGUUAGCCUUGCGAACUGGCAGACUUGAGUGCAAGAGAGGAAAGCGGAAUUCCUAGUGUAGCGGUGAAAUGCGCAGAUAUUAGGAGGAACACCGGCGGCGAAGGCGGCUUUCUGGAUUGUAACUGACACUGAGGCACGAAAGCGUGGGUAGCAAACAGGAUUAGAUACCCGAGUAGUCCCUGUCUCUUAUACA